AUUCCGGUUGAUCCUGCCGGAGGCCACUGCUAUGGGGGUCCGACUAAGCCAUGCGAGUCAAGGGGGCGUCCCUUCUGGGACGCCACCGGCGGACGGCUCAGUAACACGUCGGUAACCUACCCUCGGGAGGGGGAUAACCCCGGGAAACUGGGGCUAAUCCCCCAUAGGCCUGGGGUACUGGAAGGUCCCCAGGCCGAAAGGGAGCCGUAAGGCUCCGCCCGAGGAUGGGCCGGCGGCCGAUUAGGUAGUUGGUGGGGUAACGGCCCACCAAGCCGAAGAUCGGUACGGGCCGUGAGAGCGGGAGCCCGGAGAUGGACACUGAGACACGGGUCCAGGCCCUACGGGGCGCAGCAGGCGCGAAACCUCCGCAAUGCGGGAAACCGCGACGGGGGGACCCCCAGUGCCGUGCCUCUGGCACGGCUUUUCCGGAGUGUAAAAAGCUCCGGGAAUAAGGGCUGGGCAAGGCCGGUGGCAGCCGCCGCGGUAAUACCGGCGGCCCGAGUGGUGGCCACUAUUAUUGGGCCUAAAGCGGCCGUAGCCGGGCCCGUAAGUCCCUGGCGAAAUCCCACGGCUCAACCGUGGGGCUCGCUGGGGAUACUGCGGGCCUUGGGACCGGGAGAGGCCGGGGGUACCCCCGGGGUAGGGGUGAAAUCCUAUAAUCCCGGGGGGACCGCCAGUGGCGAAGGCGCCCGGCUGGAACGGGUCCGACGGUGAGGGCCGAAGGCCAGGGGAGCGAACCGGAUUAGAUACCCGGGUAGUCCUGGCUGUAAAGGAUGCGGGCUAGGUGUCGGGCGAGCUUCGAGCUCGCCCGGUGCCGUAGGGAAGCCGUUAAGCCCGCCGCCUGGGGAGUACGGCCGCAAGGCUGAAA
This 868-nucleotide ribosomal RNA is filed under the name Trypanosoma equiperdum. It matches the Rfam family "Archaeal small subunit ribosomal RNA", at positions 1 to 854 of the family's 1478-position model. The record is from RNAcentral. Lineage: Eukaryota; Euglenozoa; Kinetoplastea; Trypanosomatida; Trypanosomatidae.